GUAUUCACUUUGGUAGCAUAUUUACUAAAAUUGGAAUGAUACAGAGAAUUUAGCUUUGUCCCUGUACAAGGAUGACAUUUAAAUUCAUGAAGCAUUCUAUAUGUUU
This is a small nuclear RNA of Mus spicilegus (steppe mouse), 106 nucleotides long. Lineage: Eukaryota; Metazoa; Chordata; Mammalia; Rodentia; Muridae. The record is from Ensembl.